GACGAACGCUGGCGGCGUGCUUAACACAUGCAAGUCGAACGGAAAGGCCUGCUUUCCCUCGUGGAUUGCGGGUACUCGAGUGGCGAACGGGUGAGUAACACGUGAGUGAUCUGCCCCCAACUUGGGUAUAAGCCUGGGAAACUGGGUCUAAUUCCCGAUAGGACUGCAGGGUGGUGCCUGUGGUGGAAAACGAUUUUCUAGUGGUUGGGGAUGAGCUCGCGGCCUAUCAGCUUGUUGGUGGGGUAAUGGCCUACCAAGGCGGCGACGGGUAGCCGGCCUGAGAGGGUGGACGGCCACAUUGGGACUGAGAUACGGCCCAGACUCCUACGGGAGGCAGCAGUGGGGAAUAGUGCACAAUGGGCGGAAGCCUGAUGCAGCGACGCCGCGUGGGGGAUGACGGCCUUCGGGUUGUAAACUCCUUUCGACCGCGAGGAAGCCACCUGGUUGGAAGGGUGGUGACGGUAGUGGUAGAAGAAGCACCGGCUAACUACGUG
Molecule: ribosomal RNA, 494 nt
Filed under: uncultured bacterium
Lineage: Bacteria
Description: partial 16S ribosomal RNA
Rfam family: Bacterial small subunit ribosomal RNA
Source: RNAcentral